Molecule: transfer RNA, 85 nt
Filed under: Chloroflexota bacterium
Lineage: Bacteria; Bacillati; Chloroflexota
Also listed under: 1 other name
Description: Chloroflexi bacterium (anaerobic digester metagenome) tRNA-Ser
Rfam family: tRNA
About the family: Transfer RNA (tRNA) molecules are approximately 80 nucleotides in length. Their secondary structure includes four short double-helical elements and three loops (D, anti-codon, and T loops).
Source: RNAcentral
GGAGGGAUGGCCGAGCGGUUGAAGGCAGCGGUCUUGAAAACCGUCGUAGUGCAAACUACCGUGGGUUCGAAUCCCACUCCCUCCG